CGCCGAGAUUAGGGAUCCCACCAAGAAGAGCCGUGUCUGGCUGGGAACCUUCGACACGGCGGAGGAGGCCGCCCAAGCCUACGACGCCGCCGCCCGGGAGUUCCGGGGCUCCAAGGCCAAAACCAACUUCCCUCUCCCCAACGAAGUCCUCCCCUUCCCCAACACCGACAACCUCACCCGCAGCCCCAGCCCCAGCAGCACCGUCGAGUCCUCCAGCCCCCACGCGCCUCUCGAGCUCGACCUCACGCGCCGCCUAGGAAGCAGCGACGGUGGCUUUCCGUUCCAUUACCAGCCGCACGUUGUGAAUUCCGCUGCUGUGGCAGGCGUUUGGC
This 332-nucleotide long non-coding RNA is filed under the name Vitis vinifera (wine grape). RNAcentral's name for it is "long non-coding RNA (VVIN_LNC003693)". Lineage: Eukaryota; Viridiplantae; Streptophyta; Magnoliopsida; Vitales; Vitaceae. The record is from RNAcentral.